RNAcentral lists this ribosomal RNA (468 nucleotides) under uncultured bacterium. RNAcentral describes it as "partial 16S ribosomal RNA". It matches the Rfam family "Bacterial small subunit ribosomal RNA", at positions 28 to 507 of the family's 1533-position model. The record is from RNAcentral.
GACGAACGCUGGCGGCGUGCUUAACACAUGCAAGUCGAACGGAAAGGCCCUGCUUUUGUGGGGUGCUCGAGUGGCGAACGGGUGAGUAGCACGUGAGUAACCUGCCCUUGACUUUGGGAUAACUUCAGGAAACUGGGGCUAAUACCGGAUAGGAGCUCCUGCUGCAUGGUGGGGGUUGGAAAGUUUCGGCGGUUGGGGAUGGACUCGCGGCUUAUCAGCUUGUUGGUGGGGUAGUGGCUUACCAAGGCUUUGACGGGUAGCCGGCCUGAGAGGGUGACCGGCCACAUUGGGACUGAGAUACGGCCCAGACUCCUACGGGAGGCAGAAGUGGGGAAUAUUGCACAAUGGGCGGAAGCCUGAUGCAGCAACGCCGCGUGCGGGAUGACGGCCUUCGGGUUGUAAACCGCUUUCGCCUGUGACGAAGCGUGAGUGACGGUAAUGGGUAAAGAAGCACCGGCUAACUACGUG